Pelobates cultripes (western spadefoot toad) is the source of this 102-nucleotide non-coding RNA. NCBI's taxonomy places the organism in Eukaryota, Metazoa, Chordata, Amphibia, Anura, Pelobatidae. The record is from the annotation of a GenBank genome assembly.
CUCCAGCAGACCCUCCCUCCCAGACCCUCCUACUUCCUUCCUUGUUGAAACAUGGAUGCUGUCCAGGAAGUAGGAGGGUCUGGGAGGGAGGGUCUGCUGGAG